Myotis brandtii (Brandt's bat) is the source of this 151-nucleotide non-coding RNA. The record is from Rfam. Lineage: Eukaryota; Metazoa; Chordata; Mammalia; Chiroptera; Vespertilionidae.
AUAUAUAUUUUUAUCUAUUUCAGAGAUGAAGGGAGAGGGGGAGGGAGAGAUAAAAACAUCAAUGCCAACUGCAUGCAAGAGCAACCUGGAGAGACUUUGACAGCUCAGGUCAGCAUAAUACCUGCAGCUGCCACUUGCCUUUCCUAUAUCU